Molecule: ribosomal RNA, 497 nt
Filed under: uncultured bacterium
Lineage: Bacteria
Description: partial 16S ribosomal RNA
Rfam family: Bacterial small subunit ribosomal RNA
Source: RNAcentral
GAUGAACGCUGGCGGCGUGCCUAAUACAUGCAAGUCGAGCGAACAGACGAGGAGCUUGCUCCUUCGACGUUAGCGGCGGACGGGUGAGUAACACGUAGGUAACCUACCUAUAAGACUGGGAUAACUUCGGGAAACCGGAGCUAGUACCGGAUAAUAUUUCGAACCGCAUGGUUCGAUAGUGAAAGAUGGCUUUGCUAUCACUUAUAGAUGGACCUGCGCCGUAUUAGCUAGUUGGUAAGGUAACGGCUUACCAAGGCAACGAUACGUAGCCGACCUGAGAGGGUGAUCGGCCACACUGGAACUGAGACACGGUCCAGACUCCUACGGGAGGCAGCAGUAGGGAAUCGUCCGCAAUGGGCGAAAGCCUGACGGAGCAACGCCGCGUGAGUGAUGAAGGUCUUCGGAUCGUAAAACGCUGUUAUUAGGGAAGAACAAACGUGUAAGUAACUGUGCACGUCUUGACGGUACCUAAUCAGAAAGCCACGGCUAACUACGUG